GACGAACUGCCCAAACGUUGUUCGGAAUCACUGGGCAUAAAGGGCGCGUAGGCGGCAUACCAAGUCAGGGGUGAAAUCCGGCAGCUUAACUGUCGAAGUGCCUUUGAUACUGGGAUGCUCGAGGAAGGUAGGGGUCUGUGGAACUUCCGGUGGAGCGGUGAAAUGCGUUGAUAUCGGAAGGAACGCCGGUGGCGAAAGCGACGGACUGGACCUUUUCUGACGCUGAGGCGCGAAAGCCAGGGGAGCAAACGGG
This 253-nucleotide ribosomal RNA is filed under the name uncultured bacterium. Its description in RNAcentral is "partial 16S ribosomal RNA". It matches the Rfam family "Bacterial small subunit ribosomal RNA", at positions 524 to 776 of the family's 1533-position model. The record is from RNAcentral.